RNAcentral lists this ribosomal RNA (460 nucleotides) under uncultured bacterium. RNAcentral's name for it is "partial 16S ribosomal RNA". It matches the Rfam family "Bacterial small subunit ribosomal RNA", at positions 338 to 795 of the family's 1533-position model. The record is from RNAcentral.
CCUACGGGAGGCAGCAGUGAGGAAUAUUGGUCAAUGGACGAGAGUCUGAACCAGCCAAGUAGCGUGAAGGAUGACUGCCCUAUGGGUUGUAAACUUCUUUUAUAUGGGAAUAAAAUGUUCCACGUGUGGGAUUUUGUAUGUACCAUAUGAAUAAGGAUCGGCUAACUCCGUGCCAGCAGCCGAGGUAAUACGGAGGAUCCGAGCGUUAUCCGGAUUUAUUGGGUUUAAAGGGAGCGUAGGUGGAUUGUUAAGUCAGUUGUGAAAGUUUGCGGCUCAACCGUAAAAUUGCAGUUGAAACUGGCAGUCUUGAGUACAGUAGAGGUGGGCGGAAUUCGUGGUGUAGCGGUGAAAUGCUGAGAUAUCACGAAGAACUCCGAUUGCGAAGGCAGUUCACUGGACUGCAACUGACACUGAGGCUCGAAAGUGUGGGUAUCAAACAGGAGUAGAUACCCGUGUAGUC